RNAcentral lists this long non-coding RNA (317 nucleotides) under Nicotiana benthamiana. RNAcentral describes it as "long non-coding RNA (NBEN_LNC015931)". Lineage: Eukaryota; Viridiplantae; Streptophyta; Magnoliopsida; Solanales; Solanaceae. The record is from RNAcentral.
GGGGAGAGAUUUUAGGAAUUUAAAGAACUAAAACAAACCAAAAAAAUCAGAAAGAAAAAUUUCACUAUACUAUUAAAAUUCUAGAAAAUCCUUAGUAUCCAUUCUCAAAUCAUUCCUAAAUAGCUUUUGUGGUCCAAUUGUGUUGAAAGUUACUGUUCCACUGGCUUUAAGUUGAUUUCUGGUUCAUUCACCAAGUGUGCAUGUCAUUUGUUGUUGAUUCAUGUCACUGUUACUAUUGCUAUUGUACCUGCUGCUGCUGAUUUCUUCUUUAUCUUCUAUUUCUUCCAGGUACACACCUCUGUCCAUAAAAACAUGAC